RNAcentral lists this ribosomal RNA (428 nucleotides) under uncultured Haliangium sp. Its description in RNAcentral is "bacterial SSU rRNA". It matches the Rfam family "Bacterial small subunit ribosomal RNA", at positions 355 to 774 of the family's 1533-position model. The record is from RNAcentral. Lineage: Bacteria; Pseudomonadati; Myxococcota; Haliangiales; Kofleriaceae.
UGGGGAAUAUUGGGCAAUGGGCGCAAGCCUGACCCAGCCAUGCCGCGUGAGUGAUGAAGGCCUUCGGGUCGUAAAGCUCUGUGGAGGGGGAAGAAACCUCUUGUGGCUAAUAUCCACGAGAAUUGACGGUACCCCUUUAGCAAGCACCGGCUAACUCCGUGCCAGCAGCCGCGGUAAUACGGAGGGUGCAAACGUUGCUCGGAAUCAUUGGGCGUAAAGCGCACGUAGGCGGCUCGUUAAGUCGGAUGUGAAAGCCCUGGGCUCAACCCAGGAAGUGCAUACGAAACUGGCGAGCUUGAGUAUGGAAGAGGGUCGCGGAAUUCCCGGUGUAGAGGUGAAAUUCGUAGAUAUCGGGAGGAACACCAGUGGCGAAGGCGGCGACCUGGGCCAAUACUGACGCUGAGGUGCGAAAGCGUGGGGAGCAAACA